This 550-nucleotide long non-coding RNA is filed under the name Malus domestica (apple). RNAcentral's name for it is "long non-coding RNA (MDOM_LNC014082)". Lineage: Eukaryota; Viridiplantae; Streptophyta; Magnoliopsida; Rosales; Rosaceae. The record is from RNAcentral.
GGACAUGAGAGUUUUUCAAAAUUAUGCAAGUUUGUAGACUUGUUAGUCAUAUGAUCAGUAGCUCCUGAAUCUAUAAUCCAAUAAUCAUGCACAUUACCUACUUUGAAAGCAGUUGAGAAGGUUUUUAAGAUACCUGGAAUAUCUUGUUGUGUCACACCUUCAUUUUCAACCAAAAAACCAGUAAAUUGCCCAAGUAGAGCAGCUUGUUUGUUGUCACCUUGACUAGUUAAUCCUUUAUUUUCUCCAUGACCUUGUUUCUUGUGAAGGAAGGCAGCAAAUUCAUUGAUCAGGGUGGCUGGAUUGGAAGUGAACUUCUGUGCUCCCUCGGAAUGAGUGGUGACGGUAUGAUUUGCCUUGUAGGAUGAGUUGUGUGAACCUUUAGGGAAACCCUUGUGGUUGUCCCUAGAAAACUUGGGCCUUAGUUCAGGAUGGAGAAUCCAGCAAUGAUCUCGUGUAUGUCCACCAGUAUCACAGUAGCUACAUUUCACAAUAGGUUUCUUUCCUUUGUAGCCCCUCUCUUCACUAGUUUUGUGGUUAGAGAGAUAUACCC